AUUAGGGGCAACAUCUGGGCUA
This 22-nucleotide microRNA is filed under the name Chrysemys picta bellii (western painted turtle). RNAcentral's name for it is "Cpi-Mir-9588_3p* (star (passenger))". Lineage: Eukaryota; Metazoa; Chordata; Testudines; Emydidae. RNAcentral also lists the same sequence under 1 other name. The record is from RNAcentral.